Molecule: ribosomal RNA, 843 nt
Filed under: Flavobacterium sp.
Lineage: Bacteria; Pseudomonadati; Bacteroidota; Flavobacteriia; Flavobacteriales; Flavobacteriaceae
Description: bacterial SSU rRNA
Rfam family: Bacterial small subunit ribosomal RNA
Source: RNAcentral
CUACCAUGCAGUCGAGGGGUAUAGUUCUUCGGAAUUAGAGACCGGCGCACGGGUGCGUAACGCGUAUGCAAUCUACCUUUCACAGAGGGAUAGCCCAGAGAAAUUUGGAUUAAUACCUCAUAGUAUAGCAGUUUCGCAUGAAACCACUAUUAAAGAUUUAUCGGUGAAAGAUGAGCAUGCGUCCCAUUAGUUAGUUGGUAAGGUAACGGCUUACCAAGACAACGAUGGGUAGGGGUCCUGAGAGGGAGAUCCCCCACACUGGUACUGAGACACGGACCAGACUCCUACGGGAGGCAGCAGUGAGGAAUAUUGGACAAUGGGCGCAAGCCUGAUCCAGCCAUGCCGCGUGCAGGAUGACGGUCCUAUGGAUUGUAAACUGCUUUUAUACAGGAAGAAAUAGUUCUACGUGUAGAACCUUGACGGUACUGUAAGAAUAAGGAUCGGCUAACUCCGUGCCAGCAGCCGCGGUAAUACGGAGGAUCCAAGCGUUAUCCGGAAUCAUUGGGUUUAAAGGGUCCGUAGGCGGUCAGAUAAGUCAGUGGUGAAAGCCCAUCGCUCAACGGUGGAACGGCCAUUGAUACUGUCUGACUUGAAUUAUUAGGAAGUAACUAGAAUAUGUAGUGUAGCGGUGAAAUGCUUAGAGAUUACAUGGAAUACCAAUUGCGAAGGCAGGUUACUACUAAUAUAUUGACGCUGAUGGACGAAAGCGUGGGUAGCGAACAGGAUUAGAUACCCUGGUAGUCCACGCCGUAAACGAUGGAUACUAGCUGUUGGGCGCAAGUUCAGUGGCUAAGCGAAAGUGAUAAGUAUCCCACCUGGGGAGUACGUUCGCAGAAUGACAGG